Non-coding RNA from Phascolarctos cinereus (koala), 667 nucleotides. NCBI's taxonomy places the organism in Eukaryota, Metazoa, Chordata, Mammalia, Diprotodontia, Phascolarctidae. The record is from RefSeq and is a predicted model, not a curated record.
UUGCUGCAAAUUGCCCCCCCCCCACUUUCCUGUAAGGAAAAGAGCUCCUUGACAAAAACACGGGUAAAAUCUCUAGUAAUUUUUCAAAGUAAGGCUAAGGUGGAACCUUCAGGGCCCAGCCCAGCUCCUCCCACUGCUGCUGACUCCACUCUCCCUACCCAGCCACCUCUUCAGUAUUCCCUGGCAUCCUUGGGAGCAGCCUCAGAUACUUCUUAAGUUUCAAGGGAGGAGCUGUUCCCACCCAAGCUACAGAACUACCCAGUUCUUCAAUUGGAUAAAAGGCCAAGCAGCCCCAGAAAAUCUCAUUGGAGCCUAAAGAAACCAUCACACCCCAGGAGCACAAGAAAAUUGGAGAGAGUGGUUGGACCAGGAGCAGAGAGAAUCUUAUCAUGAGUACAAUCGACCCCAAUCCACACGGCGUAGCUUUGUAUCCAUGAUCUGUGUCCACCCUGGAGAGGAGAAGGCUACAGGUCACUGUGGGGUGAGAAGUUUGCCCAGAUCAGUUUUAGAGGAUCCAGAAGUCAUGUAUAUGGGAACACAUGAGAGCCCCCUAAAUUCUACGCAUUGUAUGGAAGACACUUGUGUGUCCCAUUACCUUUCAUUUUCACCUGUGCCUGUGGCAGAGGUUUUCUCAUUGCCCCUGGCUGCUGGUGUCUCUCCCUCCCCA